RNAcentral lists this ribosomal RNA (506 nucleotides) under uncultured bacterium. Its description in RNAcentral is "partial 16S ribosomal RNA". It matches the Rfam family "Bacterial small subunit ribosomal RNA", at positions 29 to 523 of the family's 1533-position model. The record is from RNAcentral.
AUUGAACGCUGGCGGCAGGCCUAACACAUGCAAGUCGGACGGUAGCACAGAGGAGCUUGCUCCUCGGGUGCCGAGUGGCGGACGGGUGAGUAAUGUCUGGGGAUCUGCCCGAUAGAGGGGGAUAACCACUGGAAACGGUGGCUAAUACCGCAUAACGUCGCAAGACCAAAGAGGGGGACCUUCGGGCCUUUCACUAUCGGAUGAACCCAGAUGGGAUUAGCUAGUAGGCGGGGUAACGGCCCACCUAGGCGACGAUCCCUAGCUGGUCUGAGAGGAUGAUCAGCCACACUGGAACUGAGACACGGUCCAGACUCCUACGGGAGGCAGCAGCGGGGAAUAUUGCACAAUGGGCGCAAGCCUGAUGCAGCCAUGCCGCGUGUAUGAAGAAGGCCUUCGGGUUGUAAAGUACUUUCAGCGGGGAGGAAGGCGAUGUGGUUAAUAACCUCGUCGAUUGACGUUACCCGCAGAAGAAGCACCGGCUAACUCCGUGCCAGCAGCCGCCGUAA